Molecule: non-coding RNA, 91 nt
Organism: Desarmillaria ectypa
Lineage: Eukaryota; Fungi; Basidiomycota; Agaricomycetes; Agaricales; Physalacriaceae
Source: the annotation of a GenBank genome assembly
GGCACUAUAGCCAAGUGGUUAAGGCGAUAGAUUCGAAUUUAAAUUAAUCUAUUACUCUCUGAGUGCGCAGGUUCAAAUCCUGCUGGUGUCG